RNAcentral lists this ribosomal RNA (914 nucleotides) under uncultured marine archaeon. RNAcentral describes it as "bacterial SSU rRNA". It matches the Rfam family "Archaeal small subunit ribosomal RNA", at positions 1 to 921 of the family's 1478-position model. The record is from RNAcentral.
UUCCGGUUGAUCCCGCCGGAGGCUACCGCUAUUGGAGUUCGAUUAAGCCAUGCGAGUCGCGAGUCUUAGGGACUCGGCGUACCGCUCAGUAACACGUGGGUAACCUGCCCUAUGCUGGGGGAUAACCUCGGGAAACUGAGAAUAAUACCCCAUAGUUCACCACGCCUGGAACGGUGGGUGGAUCAAAGCUCCGGCGGCAUAGGAUGGGCCUGCGGCGUAUCAGGUUGUAGGGGGUGUAAUGUACCCUCUAGCCCUCUACGCGUACGGGUGUUGAGAGACAUCGCCCGGAGAUGGAUUCUGAGACACGAAUCCAGACCCUACGGGGUGCAGCAGGCGCGAAAACUUGGCAAUGCGAGAAAUCGUGACCAGGGAACUCCAAGUGCAUCGGGUAAGACCGAUGCUUUUCUUGACUCUUCAAAGGUCUUGGAAUAAGGGGUGGGUAAGGACGGUGCCAGCCGCCGCGGUAAUACCGGCGCCCCAAGUGGUAGUCGCUUUUAUUGGGCCUAAAACGUCCGUAGCCGGUCUGGUACAUUCGUGGGUAAAUCAACCAGCUCAACUGGUUGAAUUCUGCGAGCACGGCCAGACUUGGGACCGGGAGAGGUGUGGGGUACUCUCAGGGUAGGGGUAAAAUCCUGUCAUCCUGAGAGGACCACCUGUUGCGAAGGCGCCACACUAGAACGGAUCCGACGGUCAGGGACGAAGCCUAGGGGCACGAACCGGAUUAGAUACCCGGGUAGUCCUAGGUGUAAACGCUGUGGACUUGAUGUUGGGGGCGCUCCGAGCGCACUCAGUGUCGAAGCGAAGGUGAUAAGUCCACUGCCUGGGGAGUACGGUCGCAAGGCUGAAACUUAAAGGAAUUGGCGGGGGAGCACCGCAACCUGAGGAUUGUGCGGUUUAAUUGGAUUCAACGCCGG